This 89-nucleotide non-coding RNA is filed under the name Stenotrophomonas sp. BIIR7. RNAcentral describes it as "sRNA-Xcc1". It matches the Rfam family "sRNA-Xcc1". Lineage: Bacteria; Pseudomonadati; Pseudomonadota; Gammaproteobacteria; Lysobacterales; Lysobacteraceae. The record is from Rfam by way of RNAcentral.
GUCGGGAGGGCGACGGAAUAAAAAACCCUUCAGGGGAAUACGUCGCACCGUCUGCAGUAGCACGGCUUUCAACCUCCCGACUCCCCUCG